Molecule: ribosomal RNA, 253 nt
Filed under: uncultured bacterium
Lineage: Bacteria
Description: partial 16S ribosomal RNA
Rfam family: Bacterial small subunit ribosomal RNA
Source: RNAcentral
UACGAAGGGGGCUAGCGUUGCUCGGAAUUACUGGGCGUAAAGGGAGCGUAGGCGGACAGUUUAGUCAGAGGUGAAAGCCCAGGGCUCAACCCUGGAAUUGCCUUUGAUACUGGCUGUCUUGAGUACGGGAGAGGUGUGUGGAACUCCGAGUGUAGAGGUGAAAUUCGUAGAUAUUCGGAAGAACACCAGUGGCGAAGGCGACACACUGGCCCGUUACUGACGCUGAGGCUCGAAAGCGUGGGGAGCAAACAGG